This 458-nucleotide ribosomal RNA is filed under the name uncultured Bacillota bacterium. RNAcentral describes it as "bacterial SSU rRNA". Lineage: Bacteria; Bacillati; Bacillota. The record is from RNAcentral.
GAGUUUGAUCCUGGCUCAGGACGAACGCUGGCGGCACGCCUAACACAUGCAAGUCGAACGGAGAUAUUUUGGUUUACUGAGAUAUCCUAGUGGCGGACGGGUGAGUAACACGUGAGCAACCUGCCUYUGAGAGAGGGAUAGCUUCUGGAAACGGAUGGUAAUACCUCAUAACAUAACGAAGCCGCAUGACUUUGUUAUCAAAGAUUUAUCACUCAGAGAUGGGCUCGCGUCUGAUUAGAUAGUUGGUGAGGUAACGGCCCACCAAGUCGACGAUCAGUAGCCGGACUGAGAGGUUGAACGGCCACAUUGGGACUGAGACACGGCCCAGACUCCUACGGGAGGCAGCAGUGGGGAAUAUUGCACAAUGGGGGAAACCCUGAUGCAGCGAUGCCGCGUGGAGGAAGAAGGUUUUCGGAUUGUAAACUCCUGUCUAAAGGACGAUAAUGACGUACUAGAGA